ACAGAACAUAAACAUGUUGCUACACAAAAAAUGAUCAGUCAUGAAAAUAUCCUCUGUAUGAAAUAUUCUUAACAGAAGUUUUUAAUCUGGGAGAUUAGGGCAAAAAUAGCUUAUUCCUGAAUUUAUGAGUCCAUAUGCUAAGUAGAGCUUCUAAAACAUAAAUUGCUUAAGUUUCUGGUCUGGUGCCUAUGGCAAACCAUAAAGAAGUGAAAGUUUGUCUCAUUAUUAUGUUUCCUGAUAUUGUUGAUUUUGGAACUGCUAUUGGUAGAUUUAUUGCUCUUUAUGAGGUAUAAAUUCAUGAAUGAAAGACUGUAUUGU
This 318-nucleotide unclassified non-coding RNA is filed under the name Hevea brasiliensis (rubber tree). Lineage: Eukaryota; Viridiplantae; Streptophyta; Magnoliopsida; Malpighiales; Euphorbiaceae. The record is from RNAcentral.